CUGUUUGUCUUUGUUAGAUCCAGCAGCUGGAGAAAGGGUCGCCGGGAAAGCUGAAAGUGGUGGCUAAAUCCACGGAGGGGCCGGAAACCAUCAGCGGCGUGUACAACACGGUUUUGCUGGCGAUUGGCCGCGAUGCCUGCACGAGGAGACUCGGCCUGGAGAAGAUCGGCGUCAAGAUCAGCGACAAGGACGGCAAGAUCCCCGUGAACGACGUGGAGCAGACGAACGUGUCCUACGUCUACGCCGUCGGGGACAUUCUGGAAGGCAAGCCG
Microcebus murinus (gray mouse lemur) is the source of this 272-nucleotide non-coding RNA. The record is from RefSeq and is a predicted model, not a curated record. Lineage: Eukaryota; Metazoa; Chordata; Mammalia; Primates; Cheirogaleidae.